UGAGGAAUAUUGGUCAAUGGACGCAAGUCUGAACCAGCCAUGCCGCGUGCAGGAAGAAGGUGCUAUGCAUUGUAAACUGCUUUUAUACGGGGGUAAUUACAGAUACGUGUAUCUGGAUGAAAGUACCGUAUGAAUAAGGAUCGGCUAACUCCGUGCC
Molecule: ribosomal RNA, 157 nt
Filed under: uncultured bacterium
Lineage: Bacteria
Description: partial 16S ribosomal RNA
Rfam family: Bacterial small subunit ribosomal RNA
Source: RNAcentral